RNAcentral lists this long non-coding RNA (339 nucleotides) under Homo sapiens (human). RNAcentral's name for it is "HAS2 antisense RNA 1". The record is from RNAcentral. Lineage: Eukaryota; Metazoa; Chordata; Mammalia; Primates; Hominidae.
UUUUUUCGAGACAGGGUCUCAUUCUGUCACCUAGACUGGAGUGCAAUGGCAUGAUCUCAGCUCACUGCAACCUCCACCUCCCAGGCUCAAGCAGUUCUCCUGCUUCAGCUUCCCAAAUAGCUGGGACUACAGGGUCUCCAAUAUUUGAGAACUGACACAUUCAAUGUAAAAAUAAUCUGAGUAAAACCAUCAUCUAGUCCCUUUCCUUUGAGACCCAUUUUUUUUUUCCUCAUCCACAUCCUACCUAUAAGGGAGGAAGCAAAGUGAAGAACACAGAUUUCACAGAUGGGAUGCCUGGCUCAAAUUCCAGCUUGACCGCUGGUAGCUGUGUGACCCUCG